RNAcentral lists this ribosomal RNA (497 nucleotides) under uncultured bacterium. Its description in RNAcentral is "partial 16S ribosomal RNA". It matches the Rfam family "Bacterial small subunit ribosomal RNA", at positions 29 to 507 of the family's 1533-position model. The record is from RNAcentral.
AGUGAACGCUGGCGGUAUGCCUAACACAUGCAAGUCGAACGGCAGCACAGUAAGAGCUUGCUCUUACGGUUGGCGAGUGGCGGACGGGUGAGGAAUACAUCGGAAUCUACUUUUUCGUGGGUAACAACGGGGGACAAGUGCUACUACUACCUAAUAUUACUAACGGGUUAAAUCAGGGGUGCUAGGCCCUUUUGCUGUCUGAUUUAGCUGGAUCCGCGUUGCAUUAGCUAGUUGGUAAGGUCACGGCUCACCAAGGCGACGAUGCAUAGCCGGCCUGAGAGGAUGAUCAGCCACACUGGAACUGAGACACGGUCCAGACUCCUACGGGAGGCAGCAGUGGGGAAUAUUGGACAAUGGGCGAAAGCCUGAUCCAGCCAUACCGCGUGGGUGAAGAAGGCCUUCGGGUUGUAAAGCCCUUUUGUUGGGGAAGAAAAGCAGCAGGUUAAUACCCCGAUGUUCUGACGGUACCCAAAGAAUAAGCACCGGCUAACUUCGUG